Molecule: ribosomal RNA, 214 nt
Filed under: uncultured Gardnerella sp.
Lineage: Bacteria; Bacillati; Actinomycetota; Actinomycetes; Bifidobacteriales; Bifidobacteriaceae
Description: partial 16S ribosomal RNA
Rfam family: Bacterial small subunit ribosomal RNA
Source: RNAcentral
GAAUAGCUCUUGGAAACGGGUGGUAAUGCUGGAUGCUCCAACUUGACGCAUGUCUUGUUGGGAAAGUGUUUAGUGGCAUGGGAUGGGGUCGCGUCCUAUCAGCUUGUAGGCGGGGUAAUGGCCCACCUAGGCUUCGACGGGUAGCCGGCCUGAGAGGGCGGACGGCCACAUUGGGACUGAGAUACGGCCCAGACUCCUACGGGAGGCAGCAGCC